CGCCCUACGGGGCGCAGCAGUGGGGAAUAUUGCACAAUGGGGGAAACCCUGAUGCAGCAACGCCGCGUGAGUGAAGAAGUAUUUCGGUAUGUAAAGCUCUAUCAGCAGGGAAGAAAAUGACGGUACCUGAGUAAGAAGCCCCGGCUAACUACGUGCCAGCAGCCGCGGUAAUACGUAGGGGGCAAGCGUUAUCCGGAUUUACUGGGUGUAAAGGGAGCGUAGACGGCGAUACAAGUCUGAAGUAAAGGCCCGG
Molecule: ribosomal RNA, 253 nt
Filed under: uncultured bacterium
Lineage: Bacteria
Description: partial 16S ribosomal RNA
Rfam family: Bacterial small subunit ribosomal RNA
Source: RNAcentral